RNAcentral lists this transfer RNA (74 nucleotides) under Candidatus Desulfosporosinus infrequens. RNAcentral's name for it is "tRNA-Thr". It matches the Rfam family "tRNA". Rfam says of the family: Transfer RNA (tRNA) molecules are approximately 80 nucleotides in length. Their secondary structure includes four short double-helical elements and three loops (D, anti-codon, and T loops). Lineage: Bacteria; Bacillati; Bacillota; Clostridia; Eubacteriales; Desulfitobacteriaceae. The record is from RNAcentral.
GCUAGUAUAGUUCAAUGGUAGAACAAAUCUUUGGUAAGGAUUAGACUUCAGUUCGAUUCUGUGUAUUAGCUCAA